RNAcentral lists this ribosomal RNA (591 nucleotides) under uncultured bacterium. Its description in RNAcentral is "partial 16S ribosomal RNA". It matches the Rfam family "Bacterial small subunit ribosomal RNA", at positions 355 to 1375 of the family's 1533-position model. The record is from RNAcentral.
UGGGGAAUUUUGGACAAUGGGCGAAAGCCUGAUCCAGCAAUGCCGCGUGUGUGAAGAAGGCCUUCGGGUUGUAAAGCACUUUUGUCCGGAAAGAAAUCCUUGGCUCUAAUACAGUCGGGGGAUGACGGUACCGGAAGAAUAAGCACCGGCUAACCACGUGCCAGCAGCCGCGGUAAUACGUAGGGUGCAAGCGUUAAUCGGAAUUACUGGGCGUAAAGCGUGCGCAGGCGGUUUGCUAAGACCGAUGUGAAAUCCCCGGGCUCAACCUGGGAACUGCAUUGGUGACUGGCAGGCUAGAGUAUGGCAGAGGGGGGUAGAAUUCCACGUGUAGCAGUGAAAUGCGUAGAGAUGUGGAGGAAUACCGAUGGCGAAGGCAGCCCCCUGGGCCAAAUACUGACGCUCAUGCACGAAAAGCGUGGGGAGCAAAACAGGAUUAGAUACCCUGGUAGUCCACGCCCUAAAACGAUGUCAACUAGUUGUUGGGGAUUCAUUUCCUUAGUAACGUAGCUAAACGCGUGAAGUUGACCGCCUGGGGAGUACGGUCGCAAGAUUAAAAACUUAAAUGAAUUGACGGGGUCAUAGCUGUUUCCU